Molecule: long non-coding RNA, 402 nt
Organism: Pantherophis guttatus
Lineage: Eukaryota; Metazoa; Chordata; Lepidosauria; Squamata; Colubridae
Source: RefSeq, a predicted model, not a curated record
AGCCCUGAGGGGAGCCGGUGCUGAGCUUCAGGGUGGAAGACGUAAAGAACCAACCCUCACUGUUUGUGGACAAUCCGCCAGGAAGUCUUUGAUCCAGUCACAAGUGAAGGGAGGGAAAUUCAGCACAGUCGUUAAAGCAACACCUGAAAUUAUGAUGGGUACUGCAAGGAAAGAGUGACCUGAAAUUUCUACAAUAAGGGAAGAGCUCCACAUAGCCUUAGCAGUUUCAAAGAGAGGUAUUGAUGCAGAAGAGGUUUCCUUCCAUUCUAAAAACCAAACCUCAUUGAUUUGUAGUACUUAUCUUUGGGAUGAAUGAUAAAAGUAAUCUAUGCUAAAUGGCUGUAUGAAAGUCAUUAUUUAAAAUGUAUACACAAUAAAACAUACCAAAUUCUUCUGAUGCAU